CUCCAGGAAGGCUGGGAAGACAACAAAGUGAGAGGGAGGAGACUUUUGCCCAUAUCUCAUGACAGGAGCGUCUUACCAUGACUCAAGUACAAUCCAGCACCAUCUGAAGGAUUUAAACGAUUCCAAAUUAGGUUCCCCUGAUGGAUAUGUACCCCUUCCAGGCAGAGACGGCAGAAACGAUCGAGGAAGAGAAGAUUCCUGAUAAGGCAGGGAACACAAAGGCCAGUGUGGAUGACGGAGACGGCGAAGACGACGGAAGCGGCGGCGAUGACGGCGGGAACGGAAGAAGCAGAGAGCACCCCCG
This is a long non-coding RNA of Brienomyrus brachyistius, 304 nucleotides long. RefSeq lists it as uncharacterized. The transcript is spliced from 5 exons. The record is from RefSeq and is a predicted model, not a curated record. Lineage: Eukaryota; Metazoa; Chordata; Actinopteri; Osteoglossiformes; Mormyridae.